ACCGGUGACUCAGUGGUUGACUCAAAGGCUAGAGGGUGGUUUGGGGGUGGAGGCAGAGGUCCAGUGAGCUGGGCUCCACCCUUUCUCUCCCUGCAGUCCCAACUCCAUUUUUAUCUGUGCUAUAUGUUGGAGUCUAGCCAAGAUGUCAUUUGAACAAAGAUUCUGAAAGAUCAAAGAAAAAAGUUUGAAAACCACCAGGACAAUGCUUUCAGGGGACUUUAUCCAAAAGACUGCAACAAUGUAAAGAGAUACGAUUGCUUUUAUUACUGUGAUAUGUUUAAAGUAUUAUAAAUUUUUUAAGAGCUUUGUAAGUGACAGAAGUGAAGACAUGCUCAUUUUAAUGUUACCAGUCAACUCUGAGAAGACUAAAGGUCAAGGGACAAUGAAAAUGUGACCCUUACCAACGACAGAAACUCCCAGGAAGCCACAAUUAACUCAAGACCACCAGGAUAUUUGGGGAAGUUUAUCCUUCUGGAAACCAGAAUUUCUGAUUUGUGGAAAAUUCUAUAGAUAUUCUCUGCCAGACUCCAGCCUAUUUGUGUGAGACAUCUGGGGAGGCUCCCCUUUUUUUCACCAUUUGAGGACUGAAAGUAAAUUUAGCUUCCUCAGCAGAAAGAAAAGAAGCUGUUUUGGAGGUUGGGAAGAGCUUUAGAAAAUGCGGCAUCACGUCUGUUGCCCCAUUUGAAGAAAGCAGCUCUGGAAAAGGCCUAGGACAUUAGUUGCUACAAAGUUCUAGAUCAUUCUGUGUGGUAAAGAAGUGCCUUUCACCUCCCACUGUGAUUCUGAGGCCUCCCCAGCCAUGUGGAACUGGGUCAAGCAAUGGAAUGGAAAUGUGUCAUGUCCUUUCAAGGUCAUCUGUGGAGCAAUGUUUAACAGCCUGCCCAAGAAAUAUUUAAUUACCUAGAGGAAAUCAUCCAUCCCACUGAUGCAAAAAGAAGGUGGUUUCCAUUUUCACUCUGGAUCUAUCUAAUUGACUAUUUAAUUGAUGUGGACUUUAGUAGAGGCAGUGAUUGCUUCCAGUUGGUGGGCCCAGGAAGACUGUGAAAAAGGAGUCACAGAAGGCCUGGAAUGGCUGCGAUGGAGAUAAAGGAUGAAGGGUAGUCCCCUCAGGGUGUUAUCCAAAAAGUCACCUUGGAAGAGGAAGAAACUCCUACCAAUAUCAGAAGAGCAACAAACAUUUUUUUUUCUAGAAGAUAAGUGGCUAAUUUCAAAAUAAUUAUUUUAUCAACUGCCA
This is a long non-coding RNA of Homo sapiens (human), 1234 nucleotides long. RefSeq annotates it as KCNMA1 antisense RNA 3. Lineage: Eukaryota; Metazoa; Chordata; Mammalia; Primates; Hominidae. The record is from RefSeq and is marked validated. The transcript has 6 exons.